ACAGCAAUUAAAAGACUGGGAGAGGCAGCUUUGGAAUGCUGUGCUUGAGAAAAUGGUGAGACAUCUAGAAGUAACUGCACAGGCUAGAGAGAAGUCAGACAAGCAGUGGCUAACGAUAAAGAUGUGGAAUUGUAGCGUAGAGAGGAAAGUUGAAACUGUAGGAAUAGAUUAGAGUGCCAAGGAGGAAGUAGUAUAGAAAGCAAAGGGCUGGAUUGUCUGGGCAAAGGUUUGCAUUUAGAGAAUGAGAAAAGGAGAAUAAGCUAUCAAGGAAAUUAGAAAAGAAGCAGAAUACGAUAUAGAAAAAGAAUUUGGGAGAGUUCAGUGUCUUGGAAACCAAAGAGAAAAUUUCAAGGGGUGAGUAAGCAGGUAGCUGUGUUAAGUGGGAUAAUGAAGUCACAGAGGAAGCUAAAGGAUGAAGUAUAAUAGAAUAUAGCCUGUUGGAUCUGAUGAUGAAGUCACCAAUGACCUCUGAAAGUAACAAUUCCAUCAGAAUGGCAGGUGAUGAAACCAGAUUUCAAGGAUCCAAAGAGGGUGAUGAGGAAACAAAGGCACAGAGAGAUUACGUAACUGGUGAAUGGAGAGCUCAAGACCCAAGCAGGGAGUCUGACUCCAGAGCCUUGCUUAUCAUCCCUGGGAUGUUAAUGUGCACUGAGGAAACAUGCCUUGAAGAGAAAGAGCGCGAGCAAGAGAGGGGCAGAGAGAGAGGAGACACAGCAUCUGCAGCAGGUUCCAAACUCCAAACUGUCAGCACAGAGCCCAACACCGGGCUCAAACCGACAAGCAGUGAGAUCAUGACCUGAGCCGCAGUCAGACGCUUAAACGACUUGAGCCACCCGGGUGUCCCACUACUUUCUCUUAAAUUGCUAUUUUCAGAUGGAAAAAACCAAGUUCCUCUAAAUAAAUGCACACAUAAUAUCGCCAUCUAAUAUAAUCAAAGCACAUCUACUGUAGCUGUCUCUAAGGCCCUAAAUAAAAAGAGAAACUGAUUAUAUUUUUUUCUUUAUGUGUGUUCAGCCUUUUUCAAGUGAUUUGAAAUACCAACAGAAAUCUGAUCCU
Panthera uncia (snow leopard) is the source of this 1056-nucleotide long non-coding RNA. RefSeq lists it as uncharacterized. The record is from RefSeq and is a predicted model, not a curated record. The transcript has 3 exons. Lineage: Eukaryota; Metazoa; Chordata; Mammalia; Carnivora; Felidae.